Molecule: ribosomal RNA, 502 nt
Filed under: uncultured bacterium
Lineage: Bacteria
Description: partial 16S ribosomal RNA
Rfam family: Bacterial small subunit ribosomal RNA
Source: RNAcentral
GACGAACGCUGGCGGCGUGCCUAAUACAUGCAAGUCGAACGAACCGCGACUAGGUGCUUGCACUUGGUCAAGGUGAGUGGCGAACGGGUGAGUAACACGUGGGUAACCUACCUCAUAGUGGGGGAUAACAGUCGGAAACGACUGCUAAUACCGCAUAGGACAUAGGAUCACAUGAUCCAGUGAGGAAAGGUGGCGCAAGCUAUCGCUAAGAGAUGGACCCGCGGUGCAUUAGCUAGUUGGUAGGGUAAAGGCCUACCAAGGCGAUGAUGCAUAGCCGACCUGAGAGGGUGAUCGGCCACAUUGGGACUGAGACACGGCCCAAACUCCUACGGGAGGCAGCAGUAGGGAAUCUUCCGCAAUGGACGCAAGUCUGACGGAGCAACGCCGCGUGAGUGAAGAAGGUCUUCGGAUCGUAAAGUUCUGUUGUUAGAGAAGAACAGCGCAUAGAGUAACUGUUAUGCGUGUGACGGUAUCUAACCAGAAAGCCACGGCUAACUACGUG